Molecule: ribosomal RNA, 391 nt
Filed under: uncultured Planctomycetales bacterium
Lineage: Bacteria; Pseudomonadati; Planctomycetota; Planctomycetia; Planctomycetales
Description: bacterial SSU rRNA
Rfam family: Bacterial small subunit ribosomal RNA
Source: RNAcentral
CGAAAGGGUGACGAAGCGACGCCGCGUGGGUGAGGAAGGCCUUCGGGUUGUAAAGCCCUGUCAGGAGUUAAGAAAUGUAGGUACGCUAAUAUCGUAUCUAUUUGACAAAGGCUCCAAAGGAAGCCACGGCUAACUCUGUGCCAGCAGCCGCGGUAAUACAGAGGUGGCAAGCGUUGUUCGGAAUUAUUGGGCGUAAAGAGCACGUAGGUGGAUUUGUAAGUCAGAUGUGAAAGCCUUCUGUUCAACGGGAGAAUUGCAUCUGAAACUACAGACCUUGAGUGUAGGAGGGGAGAAUGGAACUUCUGGUGGAGCGGUGAAAUGCGUAGAUAUCAGAAGGAACGCCGGCGGCGAAAGCGAUUCUCUGGCCUAUUACUGACACUCAGUGUGCGAA